This is a long non-coding RNA of Daphnia pulicaria, 447 nucleotides long. RefSeq lists it as uncharacterized. The transcript is spliced from 3 exons. NCBI's taxonomy places the organism in Eukaryota, Metazoa, Arthropoda, Branchiopoda, Diplostraca, Daphniidae. The record is from RefSeq and is a predicted model, not a curated record.
CACAGACAUGACAUUACACGUCGUUCCUUACUUUCAUAAGUUACUUCAAACAAAUUUCAAAACAAAUUAAAAAGUUAAACAACUGAGAUCGGAUAAUUAGUUAACUGUUUUAAAAUAAUUUCAGUUGAAGUUUUCAUGUACCUGCCUACCUGGCCAACUAGGUGCUCUUCAGUUCUUGACAAUAGAAAUAAAGUGGUUUAAUCCAAUAAUGCAAGUUCACAACCUAUGUUUUCUGAAGCGAAAUCAUUUUUAUUCCAAGAUAUUGAAAAUCUUCAAGAUAUUGCCAUAUUUAUGCCUUUGCCAUAUCCAAUCAUUUGCUGCUAUCUAUUUUGCGGACAACAGCAAGGAAUUGCGGCCACUCAAGAUUUUGAUUUUCUGGUGAUCACCAAGCACUUAGUUCUAAUUUAGGACAACAAGAUUGAUCGAUUCAAGGCAUUGCUAUCUGUC